Molecule: long non-coding RNA, 707 nt
Organism: Marmota monax (woodchuck)
Lineage: Eukaryota; Metazoa; Chordata; Mammalia; Rodentia; Sciuridae
Exons: 3
Source: RefSeq, a predicted model, not a curated record
UUGACAUUUGCAAUGGAAGCUGUCAGGGCCCCUUGGAGACUUUCACAGUGACUUGUCAGCACCUAGUAAAAAUGAUUUGGAUGCGACCCAUCUCUUCGUGAGAUGCCCUCCCCAGCUGCCUUUCAUCUCGGUUGAAAGAAGGAGUAGGUGGGACCACCUGGAAUGGAAACGGUAGACUCCGGAGCUGUGGUGUGAUUCCAAGCCCAUCUCAUAGGCAGAUGAACGCAGGCAUGCCAAGUCUGUGGCACUCACGCUACGCUGAGCCACGCUCUUUGGUCCAAAUGGCUCCAGAGUGGCCUCUGCCUUUUGCACCUGUUGUUCCUUGCUGCACGAUGAUCUCUGCAGGCAGUUUCUUUCUUUGCGAAGGCAUGGGUGCAAAUGGUGCUAACAAUUAGGCAUCUGGGCACCCCAUGGGUUCUUACCAACUCUGGUGUGAAGAUCCAUUGAUGGCGGGGGACAAGGCUAUCGUCUGAGUCACAAGCGUGAGCGUCACCAUCUGCAACUGUAAUUCCAGCCACGUGGUCAAUUGAGCCCCUCCCGCACUCCAACCUCACCGCCAACGUUGAGGGGCAGAAGCGGCCUCAGCGUCCAGAUGGGUCCUGUUUCCCUCAAGGAUGGGCCUGUUCCAACUGCAUUUCACUGGCCUGCCUGCCUCCCCUGAGGGUUGUGUAAACAUUUCCAGAAGAUACAGAUAAGAAGAAGAAGAA